GGCGAAUUCCAAGUAUAUUCCGUUGAUAUUAUUUUUCUUGGUCUGUCAGCAUAAACUGUGAAGAUGGAGUGAGGUUGAGCCAAGUCAUAGCCAGAUCAUUAUCAACUUGUACUUGUAGUCAUGGUAAUAUGGUUGAUCAAAGAAAAUGAUGAACUGAACUUUUUAAACUGUCCUUGAUGCCUGGUGUGUGCACAAGUAGAUGAGUGCCGUUCAUCGCCGCCGUCUUUCUGGACCUUCGCUCAUCGCCGUCGUCUAUCGGGGCCUGCAAUUCGGUCGUCGCCGUCUGCCGGGGCCAGCCAGCUCCAGAUUGAUUCCUGCCUAUCGCCGCCGUUUGCGGGGACCUGCAAUGUCGCUGCCGUCGUCAGCCAGAGAAGCUGGGCACAAUCAUCGAAGAGCAGUGUUCUCCGCCGUUCGAGUUCGAGAGCUGUGUAAUGUAUAUCAUUUGUUGUCGCCUGUCAGUCCCUAGUGGAGUUCUCAUGUGCCGUCCGUCGACUGGCGAGUCCCAUGAUAUGACAUCUGAGGGUCACCCACCGGCCACCGUUUACCGGCGACUCUGAGGGCCGUCAGCCCCGAGUCCCUAGAUAUCCUCAGCUCGCACCAUGCAGCAGUCUCUGUCGCAUCUGGAGUGUAGUCUAUUCUAAUAUGCUUGAUGCAUUGCGCUGCUUCUUGUGUAAAUCUAGUGGGAAACUUGGAAAUUGUUAACAACGGUAUAUGUGCGAAGUG
Long non-coding RNA from Amphibalanus amphitrite, 723 nucleotides. RefSeq lists it as uncharacterized. The record is from RefSeq and is a predicted model, not a curated record. The transcript has 3 exons. Lineage: Eukaryota; Metazoa; Arthropoda; Thecostraca; Balanomorpha; Balanidae.